UUUUGGGCUGGGAUUUACGAUUGCAAUCUGUUCAUGGCCCAGCCUGAGGUGAGCAAAUUGAGUUAAACGGGCCACCUUAUGAUGCGCCUAAAUGAAACUUCAACUAUCAAUUAUCAUCUGAUCGUCGUGAUGUAAAUCAUUUAAAAGCUGGCUUAAGCCUGGAGAUAUGCUAGAGGGUAUGCUUGGUGACUAGGAUUGGAUUGUAGUGAAGUGCAUUAGAUUGGAGAGAACAACACUAUCUAAUCAAUUGUUUGGUGAUAACAAGAUUAAAGUAGUUGGAUGAGUUAUGUCACGAGGUCGAAUUAGCCCACUGUAAUUGCAAUGGAAAAGUUUCUUCUUUACUAAUCCAUCUCCUCUCCUUCCAAGUUAAUCGUAAUUUUUUGAUUUCUUUCUUCAACAUACAAUGAAAAUAACAUCUUUACUAUAUUUUCCGUUCCAAUAUGAUUCUUUUAUACCAAACACUCAAUUUGGUGUGCAGGUUAAGACAAGAUUGGAAUUAAGUCUCAUUCCGUAUAUGUUGGCCACUUGUCCAUUUUAAUGAAUCAAGUUUCCAUGUCAUUAGUAUUUGUCAUGUUUUGACCAGUUCGCCAAACAAGGCACAAUAAUGUAAUCAAUACAAGAGUGUCCAUGAAUUUCUCUUAAAAGGGACAUAGUUCAUUAAGAUAGUGUUGUAGGCCUAUUUAACUGAAGAAUAUAGAAGGAGAAAGAGAGGGUGCGGUGGGAAGAGAGAGAAGAGAGAAUUAGUGAAUUUUGAGGUGUGUAUUAUCUCACUUCAUUGUGUCUUUAAUUACAGUAGUAAGAAAUGGAGAAUCCUUACCUUUUUAUGUAAUACAUCUUAGUUAGGACACUAUCUAAAAGAUACUAUAGAAUUCCAUAACGAUUUACACAAUCACAUUUUUAAUUAAAUUAGGAGACCAACCCACUCCCCCUGAGUGUGUAAAUGCUCAAACAAAAUGUCUUGCCUGGUCUUUAGUGAUGAAAGUAAGAACAGUUGAUGAAGCUGUCAGCAUAACGAGCGAAUGCAAGCUCAAAACAAACAAGAAUGUAUAAGUAGUAAAACUCACAAAACCUCGUUAUGGUGAAACCAGUGUAGAAUAAAAACUCAUAAUCUAAAGAGAAAAAAAAAAUUGCAUGAAGUUAAAACUAAACGCCUUUAGGACGCAUGUAGAAUGUACACAGAGGUACGACCAACCCCGAAUGAGAACCUCGUCAGCUAGCAAGAACCUAAAUGGAAAAAUACUCCUAAUCGUAGGGAAAAUAGUACAUUAAGACCAAGUGAGUGCACUUUUGGAUACUCCUCUUAAGUUUGACAAAACUUCCAAAUGAGAACUACAAACAAUUCAAAUCAGACAACUUACACAUAGCAAUUCUUUGAACAAGUUUCUGGAAAGUAUACUAUGGCAAUGACUUUGUAAAGUUGGCUAGGUUGUCCUAGGAAUAGAUUUGCUUGACUUUAAUUUUUUGAUGCUCUUGUUGCUGAUUUGAAAAGAAGAAUUUAUGCACAAUAUGAUUGGUGUUGUCUUAUUUGAUGUAUCCCUUUUUAUCUGGUCGAUAUAGGCAGUAUUAUCUUUAAAUCAUUGUAGGAACAUCAACGACAGAAGAAAGUCAGCAAGUGCUUUGAAUAUGCUCCAUGAUGGCUCUCAACCAGAAGCAUUGUACGAGUAGCUUCAUAAGGGCGAGCAUUCCCUGGUCCUAGGAGAGCACUAACAUCGAGGUGCAGCAAUGAUGAGCAGACUACAUAAAUAUACGUAUGCCAUAGUGAUUUGAUAGUUCUAAUCAACAUACUAACAGUCAUAGCCGUAGAUAUAAUUAUGGCAUCAAAGAUUAUAAGCACACCUGUGCAUCCUGUAUGAUGUAGCAUAUUUCACAAAUUCUGUCUUCUCGCUAAUUCUUAUAAACUUUAGUCUAAUCCAGGCAUACAUAGGAAAUUCUUUUUCAAAUGCAUAAAUGGAAAUUAUCAAUCACAUAUAAACUUUAGUCUAAUCCAGGCAUACGUAGGAAAUUCUUUUUCAAAUGCAUAAAUGGAAAUUAUCAAUCACACACACACACACACACACACACACACUAUAAAAAGGAAAAGACCCACUCAUAGAUCAUGUCGUUGAGUCAAACCCGUUCGAACUAGAAUAGCUGAAGUCACCGAUAAUAAUCGCAUUUAAGCAUAAUAUUACGACCCAUUAGUAAAACUCCAUUAAAACAAUUAAAUUUGAGAAAGCAAAGUGCAAAUUUGAAGUCAAGACGUAGAAAUACGCUAAGAAGAGUCACUGGCAGAUUUUGUAAAAAGUUAAUGAGAAAAUCAAGGACAAACCCUAAAAAGUCAACUGAUACGCCUUGAUGGUCAACCAAGUUAAAACUUUGGAAUUUCACUAAAUGGAUGUCAAAAAAUGAACUCGGAACAUCGAAAUUUGCCUAGGAGGGUUCUCGAAAAUUUUCUGAAAAGACCAACCUAAUAUUCCAAGAAUAUUUUAGAGAAUAUUCCAAGAAUAUUCCAGAGAAUAUUCUGAGCCCAAGUCUGAAACGGGCCGGCCUGGGACAAAGGCCGAAGGGUUGGGUUUAUGAUUUGGGCCGAGUUUGGCUGAAGCCCUACUAUUUUUUUUUUCUUUUUUUUUUUUUUUUUCUUCUUCUUCUUCUUCUCCGGCGGGUGGACAGCAAAAUAGAGCUCCAAAACUUUAACCAUAAUUUACCAUUUAAUUACCAAAAUGAAGUUAAGAGGGUAGGGAUUUGAAUUAUACCAUUGUGGUCCCUUGCCGUGGCCUGAUCUAGCCGGAAAAAGCCUGCAAAAGGCCCGGUUUCCUCAUCGGAGACUGGGGAACUUCCCCUCGCACAAUUUCCGUAGCAAAACGUCACCAAAACAUCACAACGUUACCCUAAUCGUAUUCUAGAACAUGAUCGAAGAAGGUUUAAAGAGUUUUCGAAGCUUACCCUCGCCGGAAAUUGCGAGAAAUCGCCAGAGAGAUUCUUGAACAGUGGCGGUGCCACUGUGCAGAGAAAGAAGGGGGAAGAAGGGUCUCUGCCUGGUUUGGAAUCGUGACUAGGAAGGUUUUUUUUUUUUUUUUUUUUUUGUUAAUUUAGAUGGUGAUCGUUGGUGACGAUGCUCGCCGGAAUGGCGAGUAAGACCGGAGGUGGUGCUCCCGGUGUUGCAGCAAGGGAGGAGUCUGAGAGAAAGAGAGAGCUCGUCGGGAGAGUUAGAGAGUCUCCGAGCAUAGCAGUCACGGUGGCCGGCUCGCCGGAGUGGUGACAGUGUGGUGAUGGUGGUGUGGCUCGCCAAAGAAUACGGUGAGUGGGGUGGACGGCCUCAGCGCCGGUAGUUGCAGAGAGAAAAGAAAGAGAAGUCGGGAAAGGAGAGAGCUCAGAGUGCUAGAGCGAAAACACAUGGCAGCAAGAGAGUGGUCCCAAAAAUUAAAAUAAAAAAAAAGAGUCAAAAAGAGAUAAGAUCAAUUCCAUCUCUAAAGAUUUUAUCCACUCAGUGAACAGUGAUAGACUCCAAUAAACAGUAAUAUGCCAAGAGCAUCUCUAUUCUUAAAAAAAAAUAGCCUAGUCAAAUUUAUUAAAAUAUUAUUAUUAUUUAUUAUAAAAUAAUAAUUGUAUUAUAAAAAAAAGAAAGAUAAAGUCAUCCCUCUGUACCCUUCCUACCAACCGGUUCUCUCCCUCUCUCUCUAUUUUCUCCCCCUCUCUCUUUUGCAGCUCACUCCCGUGAGCUCUUCUUCUCAUUCCUCUUCAAAACCUUCAACAAAUCAAACACAAAAUAUUAUUUUUGUAAUCCUUGGAGCUCAAGGAACCCAACCAUGGCCUUGCAUGCAGCAUCGGUGCAUGGUGCGAGAUCCCACCAUUGAAGCCAAGAGCUUGAGCUCUCAAUCUCUAACCCAGGUGAUGUUUCUAUCACUGUAUCGUGUUCUUGAGCUUUAAAUCCUGUUGUGUUGCAAUUUUUGUGGUUAAUUUGAGGGUUUAAUUCCCUGCAUGUGAUUCCGACAAAGGAAAACGGACAACUCCGACGAGUUCAAGGUCCAAUCUCGGUGAAAUCUCUUGCAUUUCACCUGGAUUUUCUGUCGAACUCGGGCCAUCAUUUUCAGGCCAUUUGCCUUCUCCCUCCGUCGCUCCAUCCAUCGCUGACAUCACCACGGCGUCAUAUGGGCCGGUCCCAAGGUCUGUCAAUUUUGGGCUGGCCUGGAGACCAGCUUGGGCUGGAUGCCAGGCAAUCCUGUGGGCUGGAGGGACUUCCCUAGGUGCCGGGCCAUUUUUUUGGUUGUGUGCCGCCCUAUCCCACCCCCAGUGGAAGUGCUCUAAGGGAUACAGGGACAAGGGUGAUAUGAGACCCAUGUGGGUGGAUCCCAUCAUGGAGAAAUCUUACACAGAAAAAUUAAUAAAAUAAUAAAAGGGUGUUUAUCGAGGAUAAUGAAUUUAUCAAAAUAUUCUUAUUGAA
Molecule: long non-coding RNA, 4420 nt
Organism: Pyrus x bretschneideri (Chinese white pear)
Lineage: Eukaryota; Viridiplantae; Streptophyta; Magnoliopsida; Rosales; Rosaceae
Exons: 2
Source: RefSeq, a predicted model, not a curated record